This 892-nucleotide ribosomal RNA is filed under the name Enterobacter roggenkampii. Its description in RNAcentral is "partial 23S ribosomal RNA". It matches the Rfam family "Bacterial large subunit ribosomal RNA", at positions 611 to 1507 of the family's 2925-position model. The record is from RNAcentral. Lineage: Bacteria; Pseudomonadati; Pseudomonadota; Gammaproteobacteria; Enterobacterales; Enterobacteriaceae.
UAUAAUGGGUCAGCGACUUAUAUUCUGUAGCAAGGUUAACCGUAUAGGGGAGCCGAAGGGAAACCGAGUCUUAACUGGGCGUUAAGUUGCAGGGUAUAGACCCGAAACCCGGUGAUCUAGCCAUGGGCAGGUUGAAGGUUGGGUAACACUAACUGGAGGACCGAACCGACUAAUGUUGAAAAAUUAGCGGAUGACUUGUGGCUGGGGGUGAAAGGCCAAUCAAACCGGGAGAUAGCUGGUUCUCCCCGAAAGCUAUUUAGGUAGCGCCUCGUGAACUCAUCUUCGGGGGUAGAGCACUGUUUCGGCUAGGGGGCCAUCCCGGCUUACCAACCCGAUGCAAACUACGAAUACCGAAGAAUGUUAUCACGGGAGACACACGGCGGGUGCUAACGUCCGUCGUGAAGAGGGAAACAACCCAGACCGCCAGCUAAGGUCCCAAAGUCAUGGUUAAGUGGGAAACGAUGUGGGAAGGCACAGACAGCCAGGAUGUUGGCUUAGAAGCAGCCAUCAUUUAAAGAAAGCGUAAUAGCUCACUGGUCGAGUCGGCCUGCGCGGAAGAUGUAACGGGGCUAAACCAUGCACCGAAGCUGCGGCAGCGACGCUUAUGCGUUGUUGGGUAGGGGAGCGUUCUGUAAGCCGUUGAAGGUGUGCUGUGAGGCAUGCUGGAGGUAUCAGAAGUGCGAAUGCUGACAUAAGUAACGAUAAAGCGGGUGAAAAGCCCGCUCGCCGGAAGACCAAGGGUUCCUGUCCAACGUUAAUCGGGGCAGGGUGAGUCGACCCCUAAGGCGAGGCCGAAAGGCGUAGUCGAUGGGAAACAGGUUAAUAUUCCUGUACUUGGUGUUACUGCGAAGGGGGGACGGAGAAGGCUAUGUUAGCCGGGCGACGGUUGUCC